AUGAUGAUGAUGAUGAUGAUCAUAUGGAUGUGCGGUAAUGCAACUAAAAUGUUCUGUAUCGCAACGCGCUUGUUCGGUAAAGCAUCUCUUGUUCGUUAUUGCAACUUUUUUGUUCGCUAUUGCAACUCCGUGUUCGGUUUUGUAACUUGAAUAAUUUUGUUUUUUUAUUAAGUUGUUACGUCGUCAGCCGGCUCAAAAUAAUUUUCGUUCAAAGUUAAUUGAGCAGACAAAAAUUUGUUUGGUGAGUAAAGUAAAUUAUUGAUAUUAAAACAAAAUUGUAUUUUUGAGAAGUAAAUUUAUGGAAAUCUAAUAUAUAUCAGUAGCCUAUAUAAUUACACACGUGUUUAAAGUUUUAAAAAUCUUUUAUUUAAUCUUUAUUUACAAAAUUUACACGAAAAAAGCAAUUAACUAAAAUGUGUGUAGAUAUUUUUGAGUACAAUCAAUUUUGAAGUUUAUCCAACUUUACAAAUCAAUUUGUGAUAUACCUAAAAGGUAUAAGCUGGCUUGAAUCAAAGUGAUUUAUAUCGAUUUCUACUCAACAGUUGAGUAAAAGUUUAUUUAAACCACUCUGAUACUAUAUAGCUAGAAUCUAAGUUGUGUAAGUAAACUUCUACUUAAAAUUUCACCUAAAACAUUACAAAUUUAACCAGCUUAUAAAAAUGUUAUUAAUAAUAUACUAUAUGCUUAUGAUAAUAUUAUUAAUAAUAAUUUAUAUGCUUAUAAUAGUGUUACUAAUAAUAUACAAUGUGCUUAUAAUAAUAUUGUAAAUAAUAGAGUAGUUUAAGUCACUUUUAAGUUGGCAUAAAAGUUAUAAUUUUUAUUUCUUAAGUAUACGGUUGUUUAGUAUUUGUUUGCAAUAAUAAAAGAUUUUAUUCAUAAAGAUUAUUUUCAGAUUAGAUUUUGUCCUUUUUACUCAAGACAAAAUUUAAUCUAGAGAUGGCUAUUUUAAAGAACUCUAUUGACAAAGUUUAGAUGUGGAACUUGUUAUUUGCAAGGGAAAAAGAUAGAUGUUUUUAAACUUCUGGAUCAUACUUUUAAAAUACCUCACUCUAUUGAUGUCAACAUCUGAAGCCUUACAACAGCAUACCUUUCAAUAAUAUCUAACUCAAUAUUACAUCAUUUGUAAAAAUGUGCAUUUGAAUACAAUUAAAAUGUGUCAUUUCUCAGAAAAAUUUAAAAGUGCUUAUUUAAAUUUUUCUAAAUAUGGCAUGUAAUUUUUUAAUGCUUUGAUUCAGACAUUAAAGAUUUGUUAUCAAAACAACAUUUAAAGUUUAAAAAUCAAAUAUCUUCAACAAUUACAACACAAACUAAUUUGCGUAGUUUCAAAAACUGUAUCAAUUUGAUUCUGUAUAUUUGUACAAAGAUAUCAUGAGUGUCUUGUUCCAGCAAUAAAGUCGUAUAUGAAAGAUUUAAAAAGCUUCAUCAACUUACAACAACAUACUCUAGAUUCCAAUAUUAGACUAAAUUUAGACUUAAAAGGUUGUGACAAAACCCUGAAGAUUUAAUUAGAAAAAAAUGUGUUUUGAGUUUAUAUUGUAAAUAUGUUACUAUUUAAAAAGUUUAUCAAAUUGCAUUUGUAUGCAUUUACUUGUAUAUUCUAUUUUAAAAAAGUUUAUUAUAUAUUAAUUAGAUUACUGAUUUAAAACAAA
Molecule: non-coding RNA, 1649 nt
Organism: Hydra vulgaris (swiftwater hydra)
Lineage: Eukaryota; Metazoa; Cnidaria; Hydrozoa; Anthoathecata; Hydridae
Source: RefSeq, a predicted model, not a curated record